RNAcentral lists this unclassified non-coding RNA (213 nucleotides) under plant metagenome. Its description in RNAcentral is "partial contains small subunit ribosomal RNA, internal transcribed spacer 1, and 5.8S ribosomal RNA". The record is from RNAcentral.
UCUCCGUAGGUGAACCAGCGGAAGGAUCAUUCAUAAGAAGUGUUUUGUGGCACUUUUUUGAAUCCAUAUCCACCUUGUGCGCAAUGUGAGGGUGGAUUUUUCUCUCUAGAGUGUCAGCCCCAACCAUCAACUAUAUCUCACCUCUUUGUCUGAAAAAUAUUAUGAAUAAAACAAUUCAACUUAAAACUUUCAACAACGGAUCUCUUGGCUCUA